Long non-coding RNA from Equus quagga, 7434 nucleotides. RefSeq lists it as uncharacterized. The transcript has 3 exons. The record is from RefSeq and is a predicted model, not a curated record. NCBI's taxonomy places the organism in Eukaryota, Metazoa, Chordata, Mammalia, Perissodactyla, Equidae.
ACAGACGAUCGAUUCCCUUCUUUUCUUUUUUCUGACUGCCAGGAAGUUCAGCAUCAAACUUGAAGGCCAAUCACAGUAUCUAUGUUCAUUCAUUUAUUCACGUUUAUUGCACGCUUCAUGGUGAACAUAUUUGCAAUCUUCUCUCCUUGGUAGUGAACUCAAAAAACUUAAUAACCUAUUGUUUGCAUGUUGGUUCUAAACCAACUCAAUCCUCUGUUUUAAAUAUUUAGGUGGUUUUUACUUAUCAUCUGGUUGGAAGAGAUGACUCUAGAGCAGGAUUGGCAAACAUUUUCUGGAAAGAGCCAGCUUGUAAAUAUUUGAGGCUUUGCAGGCCAUACAGUCUCUGUCACAACUACUCAAGUCUGCGGUGGUAGUGUGAAAGGAGCCCUAGACUACAUGUAAACAAAUGAGUGUGGCUGUGUUCCAAGAAAACUUAAUUACAAAAACAGGCAGUGGGCAGGAUUCGGCCCUCAGGCCAUAGUUUGCUAACCCCUGAUCUAGACAAACCUACUUUACUGUGCAAAAACAUCUUCGUCUGUACUAUGAUCCCAUCGCCUUUAUUGUAAUUCAUCUCAAUUACCUUGAGAAAACAGGUAAAUCAGGUGAAUUUCCUUCCUCUAUCCAAAGACCAAAAGGGGCUGAUUAUAGAGCAAUGCUGUAUAGAGACUAACAGCAUUUGUCCCAGGGCGAGUAAUUAAACUGAACGACUUAAGAUUCCCUAGCCACUUAGUCCAUGACUGGUUAUUUAGUUAAUGCUAAAGGCCAGGGCAACACAAGCGAUGUCUCAUUUGUUUUGUUUCAUUUCACAGCCUCUAAUCUCAAAUACUCAUUUAACAAAUGCACGCUGUAUGUCACAAUGAGGAUGGGGCUCCGGUCUACUCGGAGCUCCCUGAAUGUAUUGUGCUAUUUCACGCCUCUCUAGCUCUGCACACAAUGUUCCUUCUGCCUGGAACACACUUAGCCCUCUUCUCUUACUGGCUAACACCCACUCGCUGAUCAAAACUAAGCUCAGUGAUACUGUCUCUUGGAAGACUUCCCUGAGUGCACCUACCUCCUCACCCUCAACCUCCAGUCCACACACUCAGUCUCAGCAUUUAUUCUACUAAGUUAAUAAUUAAAAUAGCUAAUUGUGUUUAUAUGGUCCCAGGCUCUUACUAUAUGCCAGGCAUUGUUAACUAUAGUUGUUUAACUGAAAUUAUCAGUAUACUUGCCCAUUUCCCCAGUCCAAUCAUAUAUUCAAAAACAUUUAUUGAGUACCUCCCAACUGUUGUGCUAGAUAAAGACAAAGAAAACACAAGCCUAUAAUAGAGUGUAAACCCACUGAGGGCACCUACUGUGUCUUUUUGCUUUUACUUCUCGACACCUAGCAGUGUCCAGAGCAGAGAUUUUAGAUUAAUAUUAGAGGAAUGAAUGAAUGAAAAUAGCUAACACUUACACAGUACAUAAUAUGUGCCAGGCAAUGUUCUAAGCUCUUCACAUGUCUGAACUCAUUUACUCCUCGUAACAGCUUUAUGGAAUAGCUGGUAUAAUUAUCACCAUUUCAUAUAUGAGAAAUCAAAGGCAUGGAGAAUCUCUAAGUAACCGUCCCAAGGUCACCCAGAUAGUACGUGACAGAGCUGAUUCCAGAGUCCAUGUUCGCAACCACUGGAUGAAAUAAAAGCUUGAGUGACUCAGCAUAAAUCCAUUGCCACUCUGGGAAAGGUAAUUGAAAGGAUGCAUCCUUGAAGACAUGGCUGAUCCAGUGGUAGUGGUUAUCUGCUUGGGUUUCGGAGUCAGAACUGUGAUCAUAUUUGCACUUGAGUGCUCAGUGUAAGUGAGCACUGUUGUUGGUGCUGUUGACAGUGCCUCCAAAGUGCACCCUCACAUUUACUCACAGACCUUCAUGGUUGCAUUCUGAACUCCCACCCGAUUUCUCCCACCGCCCUCUCCUCUUCUCAAGUAGGCAUGCACUGAUGCUCAAGGAGCGACUCCAGCAUGACUGCCAGCCUGUGACUGCUGUCUUGACUCUUCUCUGGUGGCAAGCAAGAUUAAACCAUAGAUUCACACAUGCUGGCCUAUUCCAAUGGGCACUUGAGCAAAUUAGCAUUUUGAAGAAGACUACACAGGAAUGUCCAUAAUUCUGGUGAACCUGGCCGGCCAUGUGCAUUUGUUUUAAGAGAUUGCUGCCAGUCACUCAUUGAUGGUUUUGGAAGUCCCCAUGGGGCCUCCCAGGCAAUAUGCCACUCAGCGGGGAAGACACAGAGAAGAAGAAAUAGUGACUGGUCUGCAACUGUCUCUGAGGACAGGCUUGCUCUGAUGAAAAAGAAAGAACAGGUAAAUAGAAGGAGGCAAGAAGGUGAUUGGGUUGGUGGCCUCCGUCGAUGGCCUAGAGGACCUAAUAAAGAUGUGCAGGGCCAGGACUAGCUCCCACAAGCUUCCACUUCUCAGUCUGAGGCACAGCAGAGAUCAAUAAGAAUUCAACAGUUCAAGAAUUGGCUCUUGCAAGCAACCAUGUGUCACUGCAGAGCUGUGCAAGAUUGUACCUGCGAGUACAUGAUAAGGUAUAAGAUGAUGUUGUCUUUCCCUUUCUCCUUGACAAGCUUUCCUCCGUCAAUAAUUAAUCAUGGGACUUCUCCAGGAAAACACUGCCUGGCCGAAAGACUUGAGAAAAAUAUUCAGUUGACCAAUAUUCUUGUGCACCUGCAAACAUUUUUCAGGGCUUGGGUAGAAUUUACAGCACCUUAUUUUCCAAUUAAAAUAAUCCAGGUUUUAUUGUAUUUGUAGCCCCUUUCAUAUAGUUUACCACUGAAUAAUUCUCUGCUUGUUUCAUUACGUAAAACUUGCGUUUUCUCGUCUAGAUCACAGACUCACUGAGGGCAGAUGUCAUGUCCAUACUCCUUUUGAAUCCUCCCCAGCACUAACACAGAAUGGAGGAGCACAAUACUGAGUGGUCAGCAGGGAAUGGCCACAAGAUGGUGUCUGGAGACCUGGUAGUUUCUGUGCCCCCUGCCCCAUUCAGCUGGGGAUUAGACCUUUAGAAAGCACUUAAGUCUCUGAGAUGCAAUUUCCUCAUUUUAGGAUUGCCCCAUUGACCUCACUGGCUUGUUGGAAGGAUCAAAUAAGAUAAUGUAUGUGAAAGCACUUUGUAAACCAAGAUUUGCUAGCUACUGAAAUGUAAAAAAUCAGCAGAAGAGGCAUUUAGUAAAUAUCUGGUUGAUUUUGAAUGAUAAGGUAUUAUCUUCCCUUCUCCCCUAUAUUCAAUUCCUUUAGGAGUUUUAUUUCUCAGGAUUUAAUUUCAACUGAGUAGCAAACCACCCCACAACUUCCUGAUACUGUGUGAAAUGUACCUUAGUGCCUUUUACCCCAUAGUUACCUUAAAAAUUGAAUGAAAUCUAAACAAACCAAUAAAAAACGUCGCAAAGCAUGCCAUGGUCACAUCUACUACUCAGGGCUCCCGGAGGCCAAUGCCUUUGUAACCCACAGAGUUCGGAGCCUUUCUUGUGCUACAUCAGCACACUCAAAUUGUACCCUGGACAAGGAUUAUGCAUAUUUCUGCAUUCUAGCACAUACUUGAUACAUGAGAGUGGCAGAUCAUUGCUCUAAGCCCAGGCCAGCUGAGAAGAAAGUGGAAAACAUGGCACCUUAUGUGAGAAAUUUUACAAAGAGAUGACACUAUGAACCAGACUUUUAGUAUGAUUCAUUUAUUCGUCUUUAUUUUCUACUUGUUCUUAGCGAAGAAGACAAUCUCUGUGUAGUAACAAAAUUCUAUAUGAUACAUUAGAAAAAUCUUCUUUCCAACAUGGUUAUUCCUCAAAUGUUCUGGAAGAUAUAAAGUUUGGUCACAGGGUUUUUUCUCACUUAGCUGGAGGAAAAAAAUGGAGACACUAAGACAUAAAGUAAGUUGUAUUACUCUAGGAAUUAGCUUUUAGAGAUUUCUGAUUUCCUGUUUAAUACUCUGGGUCCGAAUAACAUGAAAGUAAAAAUAACUAGAGAACUGAUGACUUGUUUCUGGUAAGUAUUGUCAUGUCUUACUGAAAAUUUUAAAUUUCGGUAUUUUCAAUUAAUUCAUGAAAGCUAUGCAAGCCUAUUUUUUUCCAAAUUCAAUCAUAGAGUGUCAACUGCAGGAGUUAUAUACAGGGUAUAUAUUGAAGCGUUUUGUUGACAGAACGAAUCCAGACCAGUUUUGAACUCCAUUGAUGAACAAAUUUAUGACACUCUUUUCAAGGGGCAUAAAAAGAGGAAUCUCUUUGUCAGAAUUCCAAUCCAGAACAGUUUUCUUUCAAAAACUGUUUUAAAUUCAUUUUCUUUUUAAAACUUUUUGUUAUGGGAGGUUUAAAUAUACCAAAAGGUAGAAAGAAUAAUAAAAAUGUACCCAACUUCCACCUUUAUGAACCGUCAUCCAGCUUCAACAUAUGGCCAAUCUUGUAAAGCCUCAUUUUUAAUCGAUAUUAGUAGCCAGUAAAAUUAAACUCACAUUAUACGCCAAAAAACUUCAAUGUUCAAAUCUAGCAUGUUUCUUUACAUAUUUUUUCCUAAAAUAAUUUUAUUUUCAUCAGACACUUUUCUUUCUCACUCUUAAAUCUCUCCCACUUCUCCUCUGAGGCCAGCCCCUUUCAUGGUCAAUGCUGGAGGAAAAGUACUUAAGAAGGAGAGGAAGAGGCAGAUUUUAAAUUUAUUAAUUUAUUAAUUUUUCUCUUCCUAUGACACCAUGCCUUCUGCCCUUUGCCUAAAAUGCGGCAGGAAAAUAGUGGUAUUGAGAAGCAAGGCGUUUCCAACAACAGAACUGAAUCUUUGUCCAUUUGCCCCAACAAUACAGCAAGUGGCAGAAUGAGAGAAUGACCCACUCUAUUCUUGAUAAGAAAGGGAGAGAGAGCCCCAGUGACAAAUAUUACAACCCAAAUGUUUCGAGGUGGGGAGUUUCUUGUAUGUAAUUGGUUAUUUAUUCAAUUUAUUUUCUAUAUAUACAAAUUAAAAAUUUUUCAGAGUACAAAUAGUUUGCUGUAUAGAAUGAUUACUUUAAGGUUUAUCAAUACCAGUUUGUAGCCAAAUCAUACCCAUAGGUGACCUAAAAUAAUAAUAAUUUUUUAAAAAGUAAUAAAUUAGAUUGGUGUGGUUGAGUAGAAGUUAUAUGGCUUUAACAAAACUUUGGUUUUUUCUUUCUUAUUGUUCUCCAUGGUAAAAACAGCAAAAUUCCUACCUAGAUGGUAACACUUGUACCAUUCGCUUAAUUUCAGGAUCCUUGAUUGCUCUUGGGAACAAGUAUACUGCUGUGGCAUGAAGUGGAAGGUAUAAUUUGGAGCCAGAUGAGAGAAAAAAGGCUCCUUUCAGAAGUAAUAUAUUCAUAUAAAUUCUAAAGUAUCAAAAAAAGCUUAAUAAUUUCACCAAGUAAUCUAAAGCUAAAUUUCAUAUGCAAGUUCCUCACAGAACUAUAACAAACUUUGUGGAACUCAAGCCCACCAUGGAAAAAGGUUUCAAAACUUCUUUUAAAACAAGUGCGUUAGGGAUAGCAAGCCACAAAGGGUAACAGAGUGUUACUCCUUGUCGUAUUUGCUUUAUCACCCGUGAUAACUUGUUUUGCAUUCAGAAAAGACUUAGAGAAAUGUAAGGACGAAUACUUAUCAUGAUUCAUUCCCAUGUGGACUUUUAGAGUCCAAGAUGAUAGCCUUCCUUUUUCCUUCAACAGCCAGACUCUGAAAGGAAUCUAGAGAGCGCAGCACACAGGAGUGGCCCUCAGUCAAAACGGGGCUCAUUUCCAGCUCCGCAUAAGUGCGUCUACACGUGAUGUUGAAGGGAGUGAGCAAAAUAAAUCUCCUUAAAUAUUACGUGGUGCCAAUGACCCUACCUCACUAUUGAAGAAAUAAACUGCAUUUCUUCCUCAGCGUAUUCACAAGGAAUCUCUGAGAUACAGGGAUAUGGUUAUUCAGUCAGAAAAAGCAUUUGUUUAUUUAAGAGAAGUGAGCGCUUCAUAGGAAAACUUUCAACUUAACAGAGGGGGAAAUAACUUUUACAAAGAAUCAAGCCAGUCAACCUAAGGGAAAGGGGGAAGGAAACAACAAUGAAGUAUAAUAGGUAAUAAAAACAAAAAGGAAAGAAUAAAAAUAAAUAUAUCAGCUACUGCUAAAAAGUUGAAUGAGUCCAAUUUCCCUUUCAAAGGACAAACUUUCAGAUGGGGCUUAAAAAAAACAAAAUUAAGCUAUGUAUAAGAAACUCACUUCAAAUAAAGUGACAAGGAAAGGUUGAAAAUAAGUGGUUGGGCAGAUAUAUGUCAGGCAAAUCCAAAAGCAGGAGUGGCAAUACUAAUAUCGAAUUCAAGGCCAGAAGCAUAAAAUAGGAAGAGGGUGCAAUGAUUAAAGGCACUGUGGCAGAGACUGCUGAUACCUAUGUAAUGUCUAUUCCUCCUCACCCUUACUAACAAAACCUCAAUUUAAUUUGGCACAGCAACGUGUCCAGAUAAAAACAAUUUUCCCUUCCUCUUUUACAAUUGGAGGUAGAGUAUAAGUUGUAAGCAGAGGUUAGUGGGUGGGGCUUGUUGAAGUCUAAUUCAUCUGGAAGCUACUCCUUUCUGAACGUGUUUUUCCUCCUUCUUGACUGGAAUAUGUAUGUGGUGGCUGGAGCUGCAGGAGCCAUCUUGCAACCACGACUUGUAGAAUGGGCAACACAUACUAAAUUUGGCAGAGCAGAAAGACAAACGGACCUUGCAUUCCAGAUGACCAUGGAGCCACUAUAUCAGCCCUGAACUUCUCACCAUCAGGAAAAGAAACCGGCACCAUGUUUCCAGUUAUUCUUCAUUUCACACAACAACUAGCUGUUUCCGUUGGCUGGCACAGUGGAUGGGGAACACUAUUGAGUAAACUCUGCUGAAGAAGGAUGAAAGUGGGCCAGUGAAUUUUUUUGACACAGUCCAAGCUUUAUUUUUGCUUAUUUCUGGCGAGCUAAUAUGAGGGAUGUUAGGAAACAAUUGACAAAAACUUUUAAUAAGGCUUAAAGGACAAGAAAUCUCUAUAGCCCCUCAAAAUAUAAACUUUUUGUACAAACAAGGAUCAUCUGUGACCUAAGACAGAACCUCUAAAUUUAGUUGUUGGUUAGAAAAAGAAAAAAACACAUAAAUCUUUUUUUUUUUCCUGAAGAAAAUUCAGCCUGGGGUAACAUCUGUGCCAGUCUUCCUCUAUUUUGUAUGUGGGUUGCCACCUCAGCAUGGCCACCAAUGAGUGGUGUAGGUCCGCCCACAGGAAGCAAACCAGGCCUGCCAAAGAGGGGUGUGCCAAACUUAACCACAAUGCCAUGGGGCUGGCCUCCUAUGUAAAGCUUUUUUAAAAAAAAUUCAUAAAAUAAAACAUUUUUAAUAACACAAAAGCAAAAUAUUAAAGUAUUUUAAAACAGUUAAUGAAAAGAUAGUAUUUUCAUGAGCAAGUACUUUAAUAAAUGAAAAUGUAUGACUAUUUAAGAAAACUAUUA